Molecule: ribosomal RNA, 485 nt
Filed under: Weissella confusa
Lineage: Bacteria; Bacillati; Bacillota; Bacilli; Lactobacillales; Lactobacillaceae
Description: bacterial SSU rRNA
Rfam family: Bacterial small subunit ribosomal RNA
Source: RNAcentral
GAGCUUGCUCAGAUAUGACGAUGGACAUUGCAAAGAGUGGCGAACGGGUGAGUAACACGUGGGAAACCUACCUCUUAGCAGGGGAUAACAUUUGGAAACAGAUGCUAAUACCGUAUAACAAUGACAACCGCAUGGUUGUUAUUUGAAAGAUGGUUCUGCUAUCACUAAGAGAUGGUCCCGCGGUGCAUUAGCUAGUUGGUAAGGUAAUGGCUUACCAAGGCGAUGAUGCAUAGCCGAGUUGAGAGACUGAUCGGCCACAAUGGGACUGAGACACGGCCCAUACUCCUACGGGAGGCAGCAGUAGGGAAUCUUCCACAAUGGGCGAAAGCCUGAUGGAGCAACGCCGCGUGUGUGAUGAAGGGUUUCGGCUCGUAAAACACUGUUGUAAGAGAAGAAUGACAUUGAGAGUAACUGUUCAAUGUGUGACGGUAUCUUACCAGAAAGGAACGGCUAAAUACGUGCCAGCAGCCGCGGUAAUACGUAUG